Molecule: ribosomal RNA, 322 nt
Filed under: uncultured eukaryote
Lineage: Eukaryota
Description: partial 18S ribosomal RNA
Rfam family: Eukaryotic small subunit ribosomal RNA
Source: RNAcentral
CCCUUAGAUGUUAUGGGCCGCACGCGUGCUACACUGAGUGGAUCAGCGGGUCAGGUUGCGCGAAAGUGUUUCCUAAUCUUGAAAUCCGCUCGUGAUGGGGAUUGACGGUUGCAAUUUUCCGUCAUGAACGAGGAAUACCUUGUAAGCGCGGGUCAUCAUCCCGCGCUGAAUACGUCCCUGCCCUUUGUACACACCGCCCGUCGCUCCUACCGAUUGAGUGGUCCGGUGAGGCUUUGGGAUCUGAGCGGAAAGAGCGUUUCGCUGUUUCUGCUCGGAAAACUCAGUCGAACCUUAUCAUUUAGAGGAAGGAGAAGUCGUAACA